RNAcentral lists this ribosomal RNA (403 nucleotides) under bacterium. RNAcentral's name for it is "partial 16S ribosomal RNA". It matches the Rfam family "Bacterial small subunit ribosomal RNA", at positions 355 to 776 of the family's 1533-position model. The record is from RNAcentral.
UGGGGAAUAUUGCACAAUGGGGGAAACCCUGAUGCAGCGACGCCGCGUGAACGAAGAAGGUAUUCGUAUCGUAAAGUUCUGUCCUAUGGGAAGAUAAUGACAGUACCAUAAAAGAAAGCUCCGGCUAAAUACGUGCCAGCAGCCGCGGUAAUACGUAUGGAGCGAGCGUUGUCCGGAAUUAUUGGGCGUAAAGGGUACGCAGGCGGUUUAAUAAGUCGAAUGUUAAAGAUCGGGGCUCAACCCCGCAAAGCAUUGGAAACUGAUAAACUUGAGUAGUGGAGAGGAAAGUGGAAUUCCUAGUGUAGUGGUGAAAUACAUAGAUAUUAGGAGGAAUACCAGUAGCGAAGGCGACUUUCUGGACACAAACUGACGCUGAGGUACGAAAGCGUGGGGAGCAAACAGG